GAUGGGGGGCAACGUGGGA
Molecule: unclassified non-coding RNA, 19 nt
Filed under: Chlamydomonas reinhardtii
Lineage: Eukaryota; Viridiplantae; Chlorophyta; Chlorophyceae; Chlamydomonadales; Chlamydomonadaceae
Description: small RNA Cre_1639
Source: RNAcentral